Molecule: non-coding RNA, 880 nt
Organism: Pantherophis guttatus
Lineage: Eukaryota; Metazoa; Chordata; Lepidosauria; Squamata; Colubridae
Source: RefSeq, a predicted model, not a curated record
GGAAAGAAAAAAAAAAACCCAGCAAGGAACCCAUAAUUGAUGCCCUAAAAGUAUCUUGUGUUAUAUUCUACGGGGCCAGCACCACUGACCAGCCUGACUGUCAACCCAUAGUAAAGGUAUACAUCUGGAACAACUGGAGUACCUCGUGGUGAGAGCUCUUAUACCUAGGAGGAGGGGCCAGGAGGGUGAAGUCAGGACAAGUGAAUGGAGCUGAGCGUUUACUGGCCAGAUGCCCUUCCUGACACCUACAUGGAGUUCACAGCAGAGGUUUUUUUGCGCCCUUAGAGAGAAACAUCUGCCACUACCUAGGACUAAACUCUCAACCUUCUGAGUGGGAGGUAGUGUCUUCACCUCUAGGCCACUGCACCACUUACUAUACUCUAUAUACUUAUACUUAUAUAUAUGAUAUAAGGCUCUAUACUUCCUUUAAAUUUUGCUCACUUGAGAAAAGUAAUAGAAUACUGGUUUUCAUCUACCAUAGGGGUACGACUGAUAGGGAAAAUACUUCUGCACGAACUAGAAUAGCAUUAUAUGAAAUGAGGGGAGACUCCAAUUUAAAUCUCAUGGCCCAUGAAGGCUUUAAGGAAGUCACCAUGUCUCAGAUCCACCCGAGUUAUCCCAUCUGUAGUAGGAACUAAUGGUACUGCUCUAGCCUAUAGAACUGCUGCAUUAGAAACAAUUGAGACCAUCAGUAAAAUGUUCAACUGUAGAGCAUCCACAAAAGGGCAUCAGAGCACUUCUUGGAAUUCUCCACAUCUGUCUGAAACUUCCAUCUAAAAUAAUAAAGAACGGGAAUUCUACUCCAGUCCAAUGGCUAAGUGGCUCCUGUGCUUUGUAGAGUUGGCUGAUAUUAGUAAUAUUGGUGGAGAAGAUUCUACCC